Molecule: ribosomal RNA, 443 nt
Filed under: uncultured bacterium
Lineage: Bacteria
Description: partial 16S ribosomal RNA
Rfam family: Bacterial small subunit ribosomal RNA
Source: RNAcentral
CCUACGGGGGACAGCAGUGGGGAAUAUUGGUCAAUGGGCGCAAGCCUGACCCAGCAACGCCGCGUGACGGAAGAAGGCUUUCGGGUUGUAAACUUCUUUUCUCAGGGACGAAGAAAGUGACGGUACCUGAGGAAUAAGCCACGGCUAAAUACGUGCCAGCAGCCGCCGUAAUACGUAGGUGGCAAGCGUUCUCCGGAUUUACUGGGUGUAAAGGGCGUGUAGGCGGGGAAGCAAGUCAGAUGUGAAAACCACGGGCUCAAACUGCGGCCUGCAUUUGAAACUGUUUUUCUUGAGUACUGGAGAGGCAGACGGAAUUCCUAGUGUAGCGGUGAAAUGCGUAGAUAUUAGGAGGAACACCAGUGGCGAAGGCGGUAUGCGGGACAGCAACUGACGCUGAGGCGCGAAAGCGUGGGUAGCAAACAGGAUUAGAUACCCCUGUAGUC